UCCUGCCUUUCCACACCAGCACCCAGGAGGAGCAAAGCUAAACUAGUAAGCGGACUUGUGAUUUGGAAUGUUCUUCUUCUCUGGAAAGAAGGAAUGGAUUUCCAGUCCUAGAGAGCUAAACUCUACCACAUCGCCUGGCUACAGUGUGAAAUCCCUUCAGGACAGUUUUGGAGAUGGUGAUGGCACACAUACUGCCUUCUGAUGAUUUUGCCAGUGGUUGUUCAAGCGCAUGGCAUUCACCUCAUUCUGAUUCUCCUCUCGCCUCUGCAGCAGCUUCUUAAAGACUUCCAUUUGAACCUUCUGCAACCUGCAAGGAAAGAAAAGAGUUCGGAACAUGAGGCCGAAGACCUGGCUGUCUCUUGCAUCUGACAGCACACGCGGCUUUGUCCUAAAAAGAGAUGCAAGAUGGAAGAUUGAUCACAUUCAUUAAAAAAACCUCCAUGCAAACAAAGCAGGAACACGUCAGUCAAAGAGACACAAUUAACAAUACUUAACAUUGCUCGACGCUGAGAUCAAAACAGAGGAUUACAUGCUGAGACCAGUUGUCUUCCAAGCCCUCAUCUAAUUCCUGCAAACUGUGCUGUGGAAUCUGGGAAGGCACAGAAUGGAUAUCUACCACAGGAAAGCUUUGAGCGAGACGCUUCAUUAACCUCCCGUGACACACAAUUUACUGCCAAGGGAGUAGCCUAGGACUGAGAUGGAGUUUCUACCCAUGCAUAUGCAGAAAAAGACAAGGUCAACAUGUGAGCUGACUUUAGCCAAUACCUACCAGUCUAUCACCAAGUUGAGCGUGAACAUUUGACUUUGGAGGGUCCUUCUUACUUCACCAUGUGUACAGAGGGUCUGAAAGACAAGUGAACAAGCAGAACUACUUGCAUAUUUGAGGAAUCAGCACAAAUAAUCAGGCUCCACUUCCCUCUUUAAAAGUCUGUCUAUAAGACAGUAUAAAACAAACUAAAAAGAAAGAACUGAAAUAUAUGUCUCUGUAUCAAACAGAUGUCACCAUCAUGCAAAUGAGCCUCAGAGCUGAAAUCCUGUUCUGUGGAAGAUACAGGUGAAAAAUCUAGUAGAAAAAUCUGCUUUCUUUGGAGGCACCAUCAACUUGAACAGAAAAUGCGACGACAUGAAACAUUAAAAGGCAGGCAUAGUGCAACGGUAA
Molecule: non-coding RNA, 1159 nt
Organism: Lonchura striata (white-rumped munia)
Lineage: Eukaryota; Metazoa; Chordata; Aves; Passeriformes; Estrildidae
Source: RefSeq, a predicted model, not a curated record